UUAGAUCAUAAUCUGAAUGUCAAAAAUCAUAGAUCAAACAACAUAUCCACUAAUGUGGAUCAUUGAUUUGGUAGCACUCAAUUUGCAAACAAUGAACAACACUAAGUUGAAAAUUGAAAUUAUCUUGAUGAUUUGAUUUAUUUCCAUCCAUGUUGAUUAAACCCAACAACCACUGAGUACAAACUAAUCAAUAAGAAAUUUCGAACAUAAAUUUAUUCAUUUGAAAUCUUAUUUUACAAUAAUUAAAGUACAUCAAAUCAAUCAUAACAUGUGCUCUUAGUGCAUCCCCUCCUACCAUAAUGAGUGUACAUUAGUCUCUUUAAAAUUCUAGGGGUCCUACCUCCACCUCCCCCUCUUCUAGAGUGAGCAACAUGAAUACGCCAUCAAGAAGAAUGAUGCAUAGAUACUAAGGCUGUAGUCUCCACUACUAAAAGAGUAAGUGGUCUCUAUAUCCAAAACUUCACCAAAGACAUAGUGUCAUGUUUCAGUAAGUGAUGGAAGCUUGGCUCCCGAUAAAAUUUAGGUAAUCAAGGAAUAUUUAAAAUUAUCAUCAAAUCUCAUCAUUUUUACAUCCAUUAAAUAUCAAAAUAUAUAGCUAUUAAAUUGUGUAAAUCCUAAGUCAUGUUAAUUCACGAAAGUAUUAGCUUAAACUUUUCUCACAUUAUUUUAAUCUAUAAAAUUAUAUGGUCAUACCAUUAAUUCUUGAGGUAUUGUUAGAGUACAUUAAGACUAGAUGAUCCCAAACCACUUUACAUUAAGGUGAGUCACUAAGUCAGCAACACUUGGUUCAUUGUGUUACACAGUAAAUUAAAAAUUAUUAUAUCAAAUUGCUCCCAAUAUGAUAGAAUAUUAGUAUUAUAUGGUGCAUGUUUCUUUGGGCUUUAAAAUAUGAUAGAAUAUUAGUACUAUAUGGUUCCUUGGGCUUUAAAAUAUGAUAGAAUAUUAGUCUUUGAGCUGUAAUGAUAUGGCUUUAUAUUGUAACUAAAGGAAGAGCUUGGAUAGUUUAAGUUUGACUUCAUCAACCAUGACUAGAAUAUAGACUUAUAUUCAAGUAAACUGAAUUGUAGCUUGAUGAGUAGGUUACCACAAUGAAGACUGAACUAUUAAAUGAUUUAGUCAUAUUGACUUUUGCAAGAAUUACUUUAGGUGUAUAGGACACCUUUAGAUAACAUUUCUUAGACACAUGAUGGAGUUGGACACUAACAAUAUUGACAAUGAUACAUGUAGACUAGUGAUAGGGCAAGAAAACUCAUUUUUUAGAAAAUGCUGACAAAUGAUUGUCCUCUAUGGAGUAAUAGUGGUAGAGAGAUGAAACUAAGUGACGAGGGAAGAUGUUGAACAAUAUUAGAUGACAUAGGACAAUGUCGGAUUUUGCAAGAUAGUACAUGACUGCUAGGGAUGUGAUGGGAUGAUGCUAGAUUGUGCACGAUAAUGCUGGACUUUUCAAGACAAUGCAACAUGGUUUAAGACAAUGGGACUGAUGCUUUGUCAUUGUAGGACCAUUUGGCUCACAUCAUAGGACCUUGUUGUUGACAUGAGAUUUUAUUUGACAGAUAAGGGCUCAAAUGCCUAUUGAAAAUAAAGAGGACAAAGAGAGGAGUCCAAAAUCCAUUCACAAACAUGCUUGUUUCGGGUUAAAUAUAGUUAACCCUAAAGGCUGAGUACAUGCUAGUAAAUCAAUUAGGCUGAAACAUUAUUGGCCCAUUUACUUUGAUACUAACAGUAGGGUUAUAUAUCGACUAUAAGUCCAUUGAUUCCAUAUGAUUGUCAAUAAGGUUUCAUUUCAAACUAUAAACCAAGUUAUUUUUCAACUUAGUAACCUCAUCAAUAGUUUUUAUAUACAAUCAAUGUCAUCUACACCAUGAGUACAAUAACAACACCACUACUAAUGAAGAAAAACAUAAUCAAUUAUCAAUGAAGAGAGGCAAAUGGAGGGUAAACCAACAUGAAGCGGAGGAAGACAAGGGAGAUGGUGAUUAGGCUAGAUUAGGGUGAGCUAGAGAAAUAGUGAGUUGGAGUUGGGGAGAGACAAGACAACAAUUAGAUAAGGUUGUGAUGAGUCAAAGCAGUAGAUAGGCAAAGCAAGAUGGUGAUUAGGUGACAUGGCAAGAGUCAAGGUGCACAUCCAAGGAGAGGUGGUGAGUGAGAG
This 2149-nucleotide long non-coding RNA is filed under the name Spirodela polyrhiza (greater duckweed). Its description in RNAcentral is "long non-coding RNA (SPOL_LNC001895)". The record is from RNAcentral. Lineage: Eukaryota; Viridiplantae; Streptophyta; Magnoliopsida; Alismatales; Araceae.